This 468-nucleotide ribosomal RNA is filed under the name uncultured bacterium. RNAcentral describes it as "partial 16S ribosomal RNA". It matches the Rfam family "Bacterial small subunit ribosomal RNA", at positions 28 to 507 of the family's 1533-position model. The record is from RNAcentral.
GACGAACGCUGGCGGCGUGCCUAACACAUGCAAGUCGAACGGAAAGGCCCUGCUUUUGUGCGGUGCUCGAGUGGCGAACGGGUGAGUAACACGUGGGUAACCUGCCCUUGACUUUGGGAUAACUUCAGGAAACUGGGGCUAAUACCAGCUAGGAGCUCCCGCUGCAUGGUGGGGGUUGGAAAGAUUCGCCGGUUGGGGAUGGAAUCGCGCCUUAUGGGCUUGUUGGGUGGGUAGUGGAUUAGCAAGACUUGGAAGGGUAGCCGGCCUGGGAGGGUGACCGGCCACAUCGGGCUUGAGCUGCGGCCCAGACUCCUCUGGGACGCAGCGGAGGGGAAUAUUGUACUGUGGGCGGAAGCCUGGUGCAGCAACGCCGCGUCCCGUGUGUCGGCCUUCGGGUUGUGUUCCGCUUUCCCCUGAGCCGAGACGUGAGUGACGGUAACGGGUGAAGAAGCACCGGCUAACUACGUG